GGUCUUGUAGUGAAAUGGAUAUCAUCCUAGUCUUCGAAACUAGAGUUCUAGGUUCAAGUCCUAGCAAGACCACCA
This 75-nucleotide transfer RNA is filed under the name Alphaproteobacteria bacterium. RNAcentral's name for it is "tRNA-Arg". It matches the Rfam family "tRNA". Rfam says of the family: Transfer RNA (tRNA) molecules are approximately 80 nucleotides in length. Their secondary structure includes four short double-helical elements and three loops (D, anti-codon, and T loops). Further hydrogen bonds mediate the characteristic L-shaped molecular structure. tRNAs have two regions of fundamental functional importance: the anti-codon, which is responsible for specific mRNA codon recognition, and the 3' end, to which the tRNAs corresponding amino acid is attached (by aminoacyl-tRNA synthetases). tRNAs cope with the degeneracy of the genetic code in two manners: having more than one tRNA (with a specific anti-codon) for a particular amino acid; and 'wobble' base-pairing, i.e. permitting non-standard base-pairing at the 3rd anti-codon position. The record is from RNAcentral. Lineage: Bacteria; Pseudomonadati; Pseudomonadota; Alphaproteobacteria. RNAcentral also lists the same sequence under 7 other names.